Molecule: unclassified non-coding RNA, 381 nt
Filed under: uncultured Pseudomonadota bacterium
Lineage: Bacteria; Pseudomonadati; Pseudomonadota
Description: uncultured proteobacterium contains 16S-23S intergenic spacer region
Source: RNAcentral
UCCGGCUUAUCACCGGCAGUCCCUCUAGAGUGCCCAACUAAAUGAUGGCAACUAAAGGCGAGGGUUGCGCUCGUUGCGGGACUUAACCCAACAUCUCACGACACGAGCUGACGACAGCCAUGCAGCACCUGUGUUCUAGCCAGCCGAACUGAAGGAUCUCAUCUCUGAAACCCAUACUAGACAUGUCAAGCCUUGGUAAGGUUCUUCGCGUUGCGUCGAAUUAAACCACAUGCUCCACCGCUUGUGCGGGCCCCCGUCAAUUCCUUUGAGUUUCGGUCUUGCGACCGUACUCCCCAGGCGGAAUACUUAACGCGUUAGCUUCGGCACCUCGGGGGUCAAUACCCAAAGCACCUAGCGCUCAUCGUUUACGGCGUGGACUAC